RNAcentral lists this small RNA (162 nucleotides) under Cellulomonas gilvus ATCC 13127. Its description in RNAcentral is "[Cellvibrio] gilvus ATCC 13127 Actinobacteria sRNA Ms_IGR-5". It matches the Rfam family "Actinobacteria sRNA Ms_IGR-5". The record is from Rfam by way of RNAcentral. Lineage: Bacteria; Bacillati; Actinomycetota; Actinomycetes; Micrococcales; Cellulomonadaceae.
ACACACGGAAGGAGGUGGUCCGAGAGAUGAAGCUCUACCGGACGCGAGAGGUGACUGCCCGCUAGUCGCCCGAGGAACUCGGACGGACUGCACCCGCCGCGCCUCACCGGUCAGGACACCGGCGGGGCGGUGAGCGGACCACCGGCAGUCACCGCAGCCCGU